AAGUUUUUUUUAGUAUUUUAACUUUUUAUUCGAAUAGUCUUCUCUAUUUAGUUUUGUUUCUAACAUAAAUUCUUUUGCUAUGUCAUUGAGAUAUUAUGGGACAUUGAAAUCAAGUGUGAAGGCAAUCGAAUGGAGUUCAAUUGGUCAACCGACAUGACACAAAAAUCGAGAUCCAAAUAUUACAAGUAACCCAACAAAUAAAACACAUGACUCAAUGGCCCAACAGUGACUAGUAACACGUGGCCCAACAAUGGCCCAAAGUGAAGCACCCGAUCUGGUCCACUUGUGUCUUCGCUCGAACCAUCUGCAACCCUGACCGAUGAACUAGGGUUUGGGAACCCUAAUUUCCCAUCCCUUGCUUCCAACCGUUCAAAGACCCUAUGCCUCACGAGUCCUCGCUGCUCACGCUUCUCUCGGCCGGUUUUCUCGGCGUCGUGAACUCCUCAACAUCAAACAACCAUCAACGAUGUGACUCAGAGGGAUUCAUUCACAACCAACCAAGCAGUGAUUUAGUCCAAAUAAAAUGUUAAAAAGUCGGGACUAAGACUAGUAUUCUUAGGCUAUAAAUACAUGUAAACUGAACACGAUUUACACACAAGGAUUUCAUAUGAAAUUACCAGAAAAA
Hibiscus syriacus is the source of this 625-nucleotide long non-coding RNA. RefSeq lists it as uncharacterized. Lineage: Eukaryota; Viridiplantae; Streptophyta; Magnoliopsida; Malvales; Malvaceae. The transcript is spliced from 2 exons. The record is from RefSeq and is a predicted model, not a curated record.